GCCCCUGUAGCUCAGUUAGGAUAGAGCAGCGGUUUCCUAAACCGCGUGUCGCCUGUUCGAGUCAGGCCAGGGGCG
Molecule: transfer RNA, 75 nt
Filed under: bacterium
Lineage: Bacteria
Also listed under: 2 other names
Description: tRNA-Arg
Rfam family: tRNA
About the family: Transfer RNA (tRNA) molecules are approximately 80 nucleotides in length. Their secondary structure includes four short double-helical elements and three loops (D, anti-codon, and T loops). Further hydrogen bonds mediate the characteristic L-shaped molecular structure. tRNAs have two regions of fundamental functional importance: the anti-codon, which is responsible for specific mRNA codon recognition, and the 3' end, to which the tRNAs corresponding amino acid is attached (by aminoacyl-tRNA synthetases). tRNAs cope with the degeneracy of the genetic code in two manners: having more than one tRNA (with a specific anti-codon) for a particular amino acid; and 'wobble' base-pairing, i.e. permitting non-standard base-pairing at the 3rd anti-codon position.
Source: RNAcentral